Molecule: ribosomal RNA, 885 nt
Filed under: Staphylococcus sp. M_Sw_oHS_09/11_7_1(2)
Lineage: Bacteria; Bacillati; Bacillota; Bacilli; Caryophanales; Staphylococcaceae
Description: bacterial SSU rRNA
Rfam family: Bacterial small subunit ribosomal RNA
Source: RNAcentral
CUCAGGAUGAACGCUGGCGGCGUGCCUAAUACAUGCAAGUCGAGCGAACAGACGAGGAGCUUGCUCCUCUGACGUUAGCGGCGGACGGGUGAGUAACACGUGGAUAACCUACCUAUAAGACUGGGAUAACUUCGGGAAACCGGAGCUAAUACCGGAUAACAUGUUGAACCGCAUGGUUCAACAGUGAAAGACGGUCUUGCUGUCACUUAUAGAUGGAUCCGCGCCGCAUUAGCUAGUUGGUAAGGUAACGGCUUACCAAGGCAACGAUGCGUAGCCGACCUGAGAGGGUGAUCGGCCACACUGGAACUGAGACACGGUCCAGACUCCUACGGGAGGCAGCAGUAGGGAAUCUUCCGCAAUGGGCGAAAGCCUGACGGAGCAACGCCGCGUGAGUGAAGAAGGUCUUCGGAUCGUAAAACUCUGUUAUUAGGGAAGAACAAAUGUGUAAGUAACUAUGCACGUCUUGACGGUACCUAAUCAGAAAGCCACGGCUAACUACGUGCCAGCAGCCGCGGUAAUACGUAGGUGGCAAGCGUUAUCCGGAAUUAUUGGGCGUAAAGCGCGCGUAGGCGGUUUUUUAAGUCUGAUGUGAAAGCCCACGGCUCAACCGUGGAGGGUCAUUGGAAACUGGAAAACUUGAGUGCAGAAGAGGAAAGUGGAAUUCCAUGUGUAGCGGUGAAAUGCGCAGAGAUAUGGAGGAACACCAGUGGCGAAGGCGACUUUCUGGUCUGUAACUGACGCUGAUGUGCGAAAGCGUGGGGAUCAAACAGGAUUAGAUACCCUGGUAGUCCACGCCGUAAACGAUGAGUGCUAAGUGUUAGGGGGUUUCCGCCCCUUAGUGCUGCAGCUAACGCAUUAAGCACUCCGCCUGUAGACACGAGUUGG